RNAcentral lists this ribosomal RNA (482 nucleotides) under uncultured bacterium. RNAcentral's name for it is "partial 16S ribosomal RNA". It matches the Rfam family "Bacterial small subunit ribosomal RNA", at positions 30 to 507 of the family's 1533-position model. The record is from RNAcentral.
AUUGAACGCUGGCGGCAUGCCUUACACAUGCAAGUCGAACGGUAACAGGUCUUCGGAUGCUGACGAGUGGCGAACGGGUGAGUAAUACAUCGGAACGUGCCCGAUCGUGGGGGAUAACGAGGCGAAAGCUUUGCUAAUACCGCAUACGAUCUACGGAUGAAAGCGGGGGAUCUUCGGACCUCGCGCGGACGGAGCGGCCGAUGGCAGAUUAGGUAGUUGGUGGGAUAAAAGCUUACCAAGCCGACGAUCUGUAGCUGGUCUGAGAGGAUGAUCAGCCACACUGGGACUGAGACACGGCCCAGACUCCUACGGGAGGCAGCAGUGGGGAAUUUUGGACAAUAGGCGAAAGCCUGAUCCAGCCAUGCCGCGUGCAGGAUGAAGGCCUUCGGGUUGUAAACUGCUUUUGUACGGAAAGAAAAGCCUCUUUCUAAUAAAGAGGGGUCAUGACGGUACCGUAAGAAUAAGCACCGGCUAACUACGUG